Long non-coding RNA from Callithrix jacchus (white-tufted-ear marmoset), 9898 nucleotides. RefSeq lists it as uncharacterized. Lineage: Eukaryota; Metazoa; Chordata; Mammalia; Primates; Cebidae. The record is from RefSeq and is a predicted model, not a curated record.
AUGGAAGCAGCAAUCCAUCUUGCCACAUAUGUACCUAUGCAACAAUCCUGCAUGAUCUGCACAUGUACCCCAGAACCUAAAGUACAAUUAAAAAAAUUAAAAAAGAAUGGAGGUUAUGUUAGUAGACAUGAAAAGAAUUUUAAUCUUGUACAUCUCCAUCAGGAUUCUUGGUGACUAGGUGUAUUGUCACUGUGCAUUAAUAUUUUAAAAGGAAUAUAUAUUUUUUGAGCAGAUUUCAACAGUGAGCCUAAUAUAUUUAGUAAACCACAUUGUAACCAAAUGUGCUAUCAUUAACAUUUUAAGUCAUUUAUAGAGCACAGGCAGAGUAGGUUUAGCAUAUUUUUUAAGGGUGUUUGGAUUUUCAGAAUGGUCAGUGAACAUUGGCUUCAACUUGAAGUUACCAGCUGCAUUACCCACUAUCAAAAGACUCAGCCUGUCCAUCUGAUUUUUGAGGCUAGGCAUUGACUUCUCUCUUGCUAUGAAAGUCCUAGAUGGCAUCUUCUUUUAAUAUAAGGCUGUUUUUAUUGACACUGAAAACUUGUUUAGUAUAGCCAAUUUCAUCAAUAAUAUUAACUAGAUCUUCUGGAUAACUUUCUACAGCUUCUACAUCAGCACUUGCUGCAUAGCCUUGCAUUUUUAUAUAAUAGAAACAGUUUCUAUUUUAAACAUCAUGAACCAACCUCUUGUAGCUUCAAACUUUUCUAUUUCAGCUUUCUCACUCUUACCAGCCUUCAUAGAAUUGAAGAGAGUUAGGGCCUUCCUCUGGAUUAGGAAUGGUCAAUGAGCAUUCAUUGCAGUUCUAUCCAGACCACUCAUAUUUUCUUACUAUCAGCAAUAAAGCUGUUGUACUUUCUUAUCAUUCAUGUGUUCACUGCAGUGGAACUUUUAGUUAGUUUCCUUCAAGAAUUUUUCUUUGCAUUAGUAACUUGGCUAACUGGUGAAAGAGGCCUAUCUUGGCUUUCAACAUGUCUUUUAAACUAAGCUUAAUCAUUUCUAGCUCUUGAUUUAAAGUGAGAGAUGUGUGACUCUUCCUGUAACUUGAAUAGUUAGAGGGCAUUGUAGGGUCAUUAACUGGCCUCCUGUCAAUAUUGUUGUCUUGGGAAAUUAGGGAAGUCUAAAGAGAGGGAGAGAGGUGGGGAAAUGACCAGUUGCUGGAGCAGUCAGAACACACACAACAUUUAUCAAUUAAGCUUGUCAUCUUGUAUUGGGCAGUUUGUGGUGCCCUAAAACAAUUAUAAUAGUAAUGUCAAAUAACACAGAUCACAAAUCAUUGUAUCAGAUAUAAUAACCAAAUAUUUGAAAUAUUGAAAGAAUAACCAAAAUGUGACAUAGAGACCUGAAGUGAGUACAUGCUGCUAGAAAAAUGUCACUGAUAGAUUUGCUCAACUCAGGGUGUCCAUAGACCUUCAAUUUAUUAAAUAUUUAGUAUCUGUGAAAUGUAAUAAAUUGAGUAUUCCUAUAUCAAGAUAGGCAUAUAAGAAAGCAACAAGGCCUACUUAUCACUUGUACCAAAUUGGAUAGUCCCAAUUCAGCUUUAUCUGAUGCUCACAUGUAGUAUCCUGAGCAUUAGUAUAAGUAAAAAUAAAAUAAUAGGUUGCUUUUUACUUAGUUUCUAUUUUUUAGAUAGAAAGUUUCCUUUGAAAAUCUGGUCUCACAGUCUGUCAUAAUAAAAUCCUACAUGGAAGCCAAUAUCAAUUAAUUGAAAUUAGCAUUGAGGCAAAAUCUAUUUUCCACACUUGAUCUGUGGCCAUUCUGCCUGGAAGCAUAUGUGUUAAUUACCAUUAUAUUGAGCAUAUUAGGUAUGUGUUUAUCUCAUGCAUCUGUGGGCUUUUUACUGGGUCUACUUGGAAGCUGUGGGAGGUCACCACAGAACAUCAUUAAACAACUGGGAGGAAAGACUCAGUAGGAAAAUUCAAAUAGCAAGAGAAAGGUCAUGAAUCACAUAAGUAAAAUUCAAAGUGAAACAUGCUUUGAAUUCACCAGAAGUUUCUUGAAACAUUCUUGGUUUUAUGUAUGGAAUAUCUUUGGGAUGAAUCAGUCAUCAUUUCUUCUUCAGAAGCGUAGAAGGUUGUAUAAGGCAUAGAGUCUUCUUAGAAAUAGUCAAAGAGUUGUGGCUUAAUUUUCUUGAUCUGAAAAUGCAAGCACAUCAGCAAGGAUGUAAAAAAAAAUACUGAGAAACUAAUCACUUGCUUUUGGGUGAGGCAGCUAUAAUUUUCAUUGAAUUUGGGAAAACACUAGCUUUUUAUUACCUUAAAUACAAAUAUUCUUUAACUUCCAGCAAUCUUAGUAUUCAGCUACCAGGUGUUUUGUGCUAUUAUGUCAGAGAUACUGAAGAGAGAUGUGCCUUCUCUUCUGACUCUGGUUUAUAAAUGGCUGAGACACACUUUAAUCAGUCGCUAAAACUAUAGUUUAUGAAUUACCUAUAGCAGAAUAAUCACCCGGAGUACUUGUUAAAAAUGCAGAUUCCUACUUAUCACUCCAGAUUUCCUGAACAAAAGCAUCAAUGUGGGAUGCAAUGCAUGAAAAUAUGAAAUUUUUAAUAAGCAAAAUUGUUAAUUUUGAAAGUAAUGUACAGAGAACAAGUGUUUAGACCUGUGCCUAAAGUUUAAGCCAGUUUAGUUGCACCAAAUAUGCUUGGCAAAUCAUUGGAAUACAGGCUAAUGUAUUAAGCUUGAACUAAGACACUUGGUGUCAUAACUCAUUGGAGUCUAAAGAAAAUCACUCUGAGUUUUUUUUCUUUCUCCUAGUGUAUCCCCUUUAAUUCUAGUUUUUCUAGGUUUAAAAGCAAGAGAAGUGAAGAGGAUUAAACAAAAAUCUAUUGAAAAUCAAGAAGGUUAAAUAAAUUGAGGUUUUUUAAAUUUUUCUUUCUCUACCCAAGGUAAGUCAUAGAGUGUCUAAAAUCUAAGUUUGUUUUGUCUUGAUGUAAAAUAGGUCUCUUGCAUAGCAGAUUUGUUUUAAUAUAAAAAAUAGACACUUGAAACCUCAAACAAGCAGACAGGAGUGUGUACAGCACAAAAUCUGCAAGAAAAUGACUAUUUUAAAAAUUUAAGCAUCUCACAUGCAGGCAUCCAUCAAUAAGACUGUAGUGAUAUCACUGCUCACUGCAAUGUUGCGGCAAACACUGCCACAGGUCUUAAAGCUCUGUAUGACUUUGGGAAGAAUAAAAUAGGAUUUUACAACAUUGGAUCUCAAUGCAUUUUGAUUCUAGUGACACAUUUCUGAGCAUGACUGUUUAAGAAACAAAUAAGCAAGUAGAAGGUGACUUUCUGACAGCAUGUAUAAAGAAAACUGAAGUGGGGAAAGUGACAAAUUUUUCGAUAAUUCAGGCAAGUGAGGGAAAUACAUAGUUUUGAUUCUGAAUUAUUUUUCAGGCUUUCUAUGUUAAUCCAUCCAUUGUAGUUGUUACUCAGUUUUACUUUUCCUAUGUAGCUGUAGGCUGUAAUGAAUUCCUUUUAGUGUGAUCCUAGUGGAGUCACCGUCAGUGGUCUGAAUGGGCUUCCCUUGUCUUCUUAUUUGUAUGCAGUGAUAAUUAUGGUUGUAGUAAAUAGUUAUUGAAAUUUAUGUGCCAAUCAUAGCUCUAAUUACGUUACUGCUGGUUCAUCCUUUAUAACGGCUCUAUGAGGUAGUUAUUAACAUUUCCAUUUUAUAGAUGAAGAAAGCAAGACUCAGACAACUCAAAAAAUUUGCACAGGUACAUAGUAGCAGAUUUAGAGCUUAAAAUUGCUUGACUAAUUCCAAAGCCCUGCUUUUUAUCUGCUACAGUAUGCUGAGAGCUGUGAAAAUGAGGUUUGAUUCAAAGGCAACCUUCAUGUUGUUUUCAGUCCUCAGUCUAUAGCUUAACUGAUAGCAAGUAGAAUAUCAGAAAAAACGAUGAGGAUGAAACACAGCCACACUGAGUAUGGGAUCUGGCUUUCUGAAAAGCCUCAGAGGAGUCAGGUAUUACAAUUUGAAGGGAUGUAAGGGAUGAAGAUUGCUCAAUGAAAGGUGAAAGAGACCUGGGAAGAUUAGACGUGGGCAGAUUAAUUUCCCUACCUUCCUCUCUCAGCUUGCCCCAAGAUGCAGCUUGUUGUAAAGUGAAGACACAUGAUUUCACAUCACUUUUUCCUUACAUCACUUCUCUCACUUUUUUAUUUCACCCUCACGUUUUGGGCUUACAUCUUCCAAAUAAAAGGUAUGCUACCAUAAUGGGGUAGUUAAUGGAGUGCCUUAGGUAAUACUUCUUGAAGUUCUGAGGCUGAAACAGUAAUCAAUAUAUGCAUAGGCCUGGCAUGUGCCAGAUCCAUUGUGUCAGACACAUUAAUUCAUUUACUCCUGGCAAAAACUUAAUGAAAUCAUAUUAUUAUUUUCAUUCCCAUUUUACAGAUAAGGAAAUUAAAGUAGAGGGAUGUUAAAUCCUUCUUUGGAAUACAUCAUAAAAACAAGAUUUUGCACAUGGACACAAAAAUGAAUGCAAGAAUGAAUGAAUGAAUGCAAGCUUGCUCAAUGGAAUAAAAUGAUAGGGAAAAUUUCAAUGUCUAACAUUCACUGGGUGCUACCACUUAACAUUAUUCCAUUUUCUGAAGAAAAAUUGAUCCAGCAUCUAGCAAAAUACAUUGCACAGAUUAGAUACCCAACAUUUACUUGUUAAAAUAAUGCAUACAGUAUUUUCUAAGCUCCAUUUUUUGGGGAAAGACAACAGGUACAAAAUAUUUUCUUAAAUAUUGAUGGAUGCACAGACAUACAAGGGGUUUUAUAACAUUGCUCAUGGAGCUCAGAUUACAAGGGAAUAAACUAACUUGAGAGAUACUUUGCUACACCUUUGCUUUGUUUACCUGAAAUAGAGUUUAGUUGCUGAAAUUCAAAGUUCCUUGGGUUUAUAACACCAACAAUAAAUAAAAACAAAUAAAAGAUACUGCCACGAAAAUCAAUGUGGUAUCCAGAAAAUUAAAUAGCCAAGAAAUGAGGCAUUUUUUGUGUGUGCUCUAUAAAUUUUCCUUGGCGUCAUUUGUAGUGGGUCCUUUGUUAAUGGUCUUUGUUUCCUAGUUGAUGUGACUGCUAGUGGUGUAUUGGUCCAUAUUCAAGUACUGAUGAGAGCCUCAAGACAUUUGAGAAAGCUUAAAGAUUCAGCAAGGAUUGGAAACAAAUGACUGGAGAAUAAAUACGAUACAAGGGUGCCAAACCUUAACCUAAAGCUUCAGUUUUUUGAUAGGGUUGAUGAUUCCUGUUUCCUUAGAUGUUUCUGCAUUUUUUUCUUUUUGUUUUUCUAAAUUACUGCAUCUGGUUAUAAAUAAGUUCAUUUUGCAUAAAAAAAUGGAAUACCAGAACUUGGAGUAAAAUUUCAAUUAAGCACAGUUUAUUUUUACCAUAUUAUAGCUGAUUUCCUGAAAAGUCUUUACAGACUUAGAGCCAAGUUUUUAAAGCCUGCCAUUUUCCAUUGCACUGUAAUCAGACAUCUACCUGAUAAAUUAUUUCUAUACCUCUGUAUAAGGAGAGCUGUGGAUGUGAUCAUUUCACCUUUGAGGAAAUCUUGUAGAUAUUGUCAGGUGCUAAACUUACAACCAGUAAAGCUAGAAUAUCCAUGUUGGUUUUUAAGAUUGAGUCAAAUCUUAAGUCUCCAAAAUUAUCUCCUUUGAAUCCAUGUUUCACAUCCAGGUCAUGCUGAUGCAAGAGGUGGGUUUCCAUGGUCUUAGACAAUUUGAUCCCUGUGGCCCCUAUCCUGGCCUCUUUCAUGGACUGGUGUUUAGUGUCUGCAGCUUUUCUAGGUGCAUGGUUAAAGCUGUCAGUAGAUCUGCAAUUCUGGGGUCUGGAAGACAGUGGUACUCUUCUUAUAGCUCCACUAGGUGAUGCCCCAGUGGGGACUCUGUGUGGGGUUUGCACCUGUAUUUCCCUUCCAUACUGUCCUAGCAGAGGCUCUCCAGGAGAGCUCCAACCUUGCAGCACACCUCUGCCUAGACAUAAGGAAUUUCCAUACAUUCUUUGGAAUCUAGGCAGAGAUUACCAGACUUCAAUUCUUGACUUUUGAGUACCUGCAGGCCCAACACCAUGUGUACCACCAAGCCUUGGAGUUUGCAUCCUAUGAAGCAAUGGCCUUAACUCUACAUUGACCACUUUUAACCCAUGGCUGGGAUGUAGGACACCAAGUCCUAAGACCACACAAAGCAGUACAGCCCUGGGCCUGGCCUAUGAAACCAUUUUUCCCUCCUAGGCCUCCUGGCUUGUGAUAAGUGGGGCUGCUCUGAAGACCUCUGACAUUCCCUGGAGACAUUUCCCUAUUGUAUUGGUGAUUAACAUUAGCCUCGGCAGUAUUUAUGAAAAUUUCUGUAGCAGGCUUCAGUUUCUUCUCAGAAAAUGAGUUUUUCUUUUCUAUCACACCAUCAGGCUGCAAAUUUUCUGAACUUUUAUGCUCUGCUUCCCUUUUAUAUGUAAGUUCUAAUUCCAAACUGUAUCUUUGUGAAUUCAUAAAGCUGAAUCCUUUUAACAGCACCCAAGUCACCUCUUGAACACUUUGCUGCUUAGAAAUUUCUUCUACCAGAUACCUUAAAUCACCUCUCAAGUUCAAAGUUCCUUUGGGUAGGAAAAAAUGCCACCAGUCUCCUUGUUAAAACAUAGAAAGAGUCACCUUUAUUUCAGUUCUCAACAAGUUCCUCAUCUCCAUCUGGGACUACCUCAACCUGGACUUCAUUGUCCAUAUCACUAUCAGCCUUCUGGUCAAAGCCAUUCAACAAGUCUCUGGGAAGUUUCAGACUUUCCCACAUCUUCCUGUCCUCUUCUGCGCCCUCUAAACAGUUUCAACCUCUGCCUGUUACCCAGUUCCAAAGUUGCUUCCACAUUUUUAAGUAUCUUUACAGCAGCCCACUCCUGGUACCAACUUACUGUAUUAAUCCAUUCUCAUGCUGUGAAAAAAGACAUACCAAAGACUGGGUAAUUUAUAAAGGCAGGAGGUUUAAUGGACUCGUAGUUCCGCAUGGCUGGGGAGGCUUCACAAUCAUGAUGAAAAGGGACUUUUUACAUGGUGGCAGCCAAGAGGGUUUGUGCAGGGUAACACUCAUUUAUAAAGCCAUUAGAUCUCAUGAGACUUAUUCACUAUCACAAGAACAGCAUGGGAAAAUCCCACCCAAGACCUCCCACUGUGUCCCUCCCAAAACGUGGGAGUUACGGGAGCUACAUUCAAGAUGAGAUUUGUAUGGUGACAUGGCCAUACAUUAUCACCCAUUAUGAUGGUGAUUUAUCUAAUUUAUUUUUAACUUUUUAUUUUAAAAUAAUAUAGUGACAGGAGUGGCAGAAACAGUACAAAGAGAUUCUGCUUAUGCUUCACCCAGCUUUUCCCAAUGGUUAUAUUUUUACAUAACUACAGUAUAUAAUCUCAACCAGGAAAUUGACAUUGGUACAAUGUGCGUGUAUGGACCUGUGUCAUUUAAUUGCAUGUGUAGAUUCCUGCAACACUGAUUCCAUUCCAAUCAAGACACAGAUCUAUUUAAGGGAACAGAAGAUUAAGGUCUUCCAUUCUCUUUUAUAAUCAUACUCAAAUCCUCCCUAUUGCCAUUCCUAACCCCUGGCAACCACCAGGCUCUUUUCCAUCACUAUAAUUUUGUCAUUUUGAGAAUGUUGUAUAACCUGAACCUCAAAGUAUGCAACAUUUUGAGACUGGUUUAUUAAUUUCAGCAUAAUACUUUUGAGACACAUCCAAAUUUGUUGUAUUACUAGUUUACUGCUUUUUAUUGCUGAUGGUGGUGAAUGGUAUGGAUGUACCACAUUCUGUUUAACCAUUUGGCUUUUGAGUGACAUGCUAUCAGCUUUUGGCUAUCAAAAACAAAGCUGUUACUAAUAUUCAUGUACAUUUUUGUAUGGGCAUACAUUUUAUUUUUUCUGGAUACAUGUCUAGAAGUACAAUUACUGGGUCCUCUGGUAAGUAUAUGCUUAGUUUUUUAAGAAACUGUCAAACUAUUUUCCAGAGUGGCUGUACCAUUUUACAUUCUGCCAGCAAUGUAUAACAGAUCCACUUUCUCUGCAUCCUUGACAACAUUUUAUAUUGUCAAUAUUUUUCUAUUUUAGCUGUUCUAAUAUAAAUUUUAAUAGAAUGGAUCAUCAUUUCUUAUUGUAGUCUUUAUGUACAUUUCCCUAAUGAACAGUGAUGUUGAACAUCAUUUCGUGUGCUUAUCUGCAUAUCCUCUUUGCUGAAAUGUCUCUUCAUGUCCUUUACCCGUGUUCUAAUGGAUUUCUUGAUUUUCACUGUUGAGUUUUAGGACUGUUUUAUCUUGCCUAACCUGCAUCUGGAGUCACCUCAAAAGUGUCAGCAGGAGAGUUUCCACAAAGGAGUGCCCAAGCCAUCCAGAGAUGAAGCUGGUUGAGAUUCCAAAAAAAGCACUGAAUGUUGGGGUGAUCAGUCCAAAGCAUUUACUAAGGGAACUUACAGCAUGCUGCAGAAAUCCUUGCCACCAACAGCAAGAGGAAAUGGGUAUUCUACCUAGGAUGUCCACAGUGAAGGGUUCAGGGAGAUACCAUUGCCUUUCAUCAAGAAAACAUGCGGGCAUCUAAAUGUGACAAAUACUCCCCUAAAGUAUUAGAACUUCAGCAAUGUGAAGAAGUAGAAGCUCUGUGAACCCUACUCACCAAAUCCCAGCAGCCAGAUGGGUGGUUGCUGUGUGGUAGUAGCUUAGCUCAUCAGAAAGUUACAACCUCCAACCACAGUUGAAAUGACUCACAUCCAUUGGAACAAAGAAAAUGUCAAGAAUUGCUUCCAGAUCUGAGAUGGCUGAAUAGGAACAGCUCUGGAGUGCAGUUCCCAGCGAGAAUAAUGCAGAGGCUGAGUGAUCGAUCACUGCAUUUCCAAAUGAGUCAUUACUGCCCACAGACCAGGAGAUUUCUGGGCUGAAAAGCACCACACGUUUCCAGCAGGGCUGUUUCAGCUGGUGCAGUGGGUCUCCACACAAAAACUCACACAUAUCUGGGCAACCGUUUUAACUGGCACCUGGAACACCUGGGAGACAGAGCCACCCAUUCAACUGAAAAAAGGGCUGAAACAGGGAGCCAGGUGAUCUAGCUCGGCGGGUCCUACCCCCACAAAGGCCAGCAAUCUGAAACGCUCUGGAUUGAGUUUCACAGCAAGCACAGCUAGACCCAGGAUGGUCCAGCUCUGUGGGGGUAAGGGUGUCCACCAUUACCGAGGCAGUCCACCACUACCGAGGAAGUCCACCAUUACCAAGUCCGCCAUUAUAGGGGCAGUCUGCCAUUACUUUUACACUGUUGGUAGGGUGUAAAUUAGUUCAACCAUUGUGGAAGACAGUGUGGCUAUUCCUCAACCACCUAGAAAUAGAAGUUCCAUUUGACCCAGCAAUCUCAUUACUGGGUAUAUAUCCAAAGGAUGAUAAAUUGUUCUAUUAUAAAGACACAUGCACACCUGUGUUUAUUGCAGCACUGUUUACAAUAGCAAAGACCAGGAACCAACCCAAAUGCCCAUUGAUGAUAGACUGGACAAGGAAAAUGUGGCACAUAUACACCAUGGAAUACUAUGCAGCCAUAAAAAAUGAUGAGUUGUGUCCUUUGUAGGGACAUGGAUGAAUCUGGAAACCAUAAUUCUCAGCAAACUGGCACAAAAACAGAAAAUCAAACACCGCAUCUUUUCACUCAUAGGCGGAUGUUGAACAAUGAGAACACAUGGACACAGGGAGGGGAGCAUCACACACUGGGAUUUGUUGAGGGGGAAUAAGGGGAGGGACAGCAGGGGUACGGAUGUUGGGAAGGGAUAACAUGGGGAGAAAUGCCAGAUAUAGGUGACGGGAGAUGGAAGCAGCAAACCACAUUUCUGUGUAUGUACCUAUGCAACAAUCCUGCAUGUUCUGCACAUGUACCCCAGAACCUAAAGUGUAACAAAAAAUAUAUAUAUAUAUUUAAAAUAAAAUGUCAAGAAUUUGUUAGAAUU